AACGAACGCUGGCGGCGUGCCUAACACAUGCAAGUCGAGCGCGAAUGGAGCAAUCCUAGUAGAGCGGCGCACGGGUGCGUAACACGUGGGUAAUCUGCCUCAAAGCCCGGGAUAACCUGCCGAAAGGCAAGCUAAUACCGGAUAAGCCUACGGACUCUUCGGGGUCUGAAGGAAAGGUGGCCUCUGUAUACAAGCUAUCACUUUGAGAUGAGCCCGCGGCCCAUCAGCUCGUUGGCGGGGUAACGGCCCACCAAGGCAACGACGGGUAGCUGGUCUGAGAGGACGAUCAGCCACACUGGAACUGAGACACGGUCCAGACUCCUACGGGAGGCAGCAGGUGGGGUAAUUUUUGCGCAAUGGGCGAAAGCCUGACGCAGCAACGCCGCGUGUGUGAUGAAGGUCGUUCGG
RNAcentral lists this ribosomal RNA (408 nucleotides) under uncultured bacterium. RNAcentral's name for it is "bacterial SSU rRNA". It matches the Rfam family "Bacterial small subunit ribosomal RNA", at positions 29 to 421 of the family's 1533-position model. The record is from RNAcentral.